AACGAACGCUGGCGGCAGGCUUAACACAUGCAAGUCGAGCGCCCCGCCAGGGGAGCGGCCGUCGGGUGAGUAACGCGUGGGAACGUACCUUUUGGUUCGGAACAACUCCGGGAUACUGGAGCUAAUACCGGAUAAGCCCUAACGGGGAAAGAUUUAUCGCCUAAAGUUCGGCCCGCGUCGGCUUAGCUGGUUGGGGAGGUAACGGCGCACCAAGGCGACGAUCAGUAGCUGGUCUGAGAGGCUGAUCAGCCACACUUGGACUGGGACACGGCCCAGACUCCUACGGGAGGCAGCAGUGGGGAAUAUAGGACAAUGGGCGCAGGCCUGAUCCAGCCAGGCCGCGUGAGUGAUGAAGGCCUUAGGGUUGUAAAGCUCUUUUGUCCGGGAAGAUAAUGACGGUACCGGAAGAAUAAGCCCCGGCUAACUUCGUG
Molecule: ribosomal RNA, 431 nt
Filed under: uncultured bacterium
Lineage: Bacteria
Description: partial 16S ribosomal RNA
Rfam family: Bacterial small subunit ribosomal RNA
Source: RNAcentral